GAAUUAUGAUGAAGAAUUGUUGUUUGAUUGUUUUCAUCUUUUGCACAAUUGAUGUGUCAAAUGGCGGCAGUAAGUAUCCUGUAUCUUUAAAACGCUGUAGUGAAGAUUAAAGAUUAGGCUGCCUGACUCUCUCAUAAUAUUAAAAGUACGAUCCUUUCACUCUGAUCAAACGUUCUGCAUUCGGGAGCCAAAAUGAGACAGACAGAGUUAAAACCUUUUUAUGUCACAGAUAUUCAAUCAUGUUAACAAAUUAUCUACAAUUUGUUUUUAUAGUAAUUUGGGGAUACACACCUCUAGUUUACAACGAUAAUAUCAGUACUUUCGUCGAGCUACAGAGCUGUACAAAACUGUUCAACACUACUUUCCUAGGUUAACCUAAGAACAAUAACAAAAAAACUGUUUUUAAGAAGAACAAGUUUUAAAUCUUCUAAGCAGAGUUACGAGCAUCUCGAGCAAAUUCCGAAAAUUUUAUUCAUGAGAAAUCAUACUGCAACAACAAUAUAUAUAUAUAGACCUUUUCUUAAAAUUAACAAAAUUCUUCAUUGUGUCCUAUAUUCAACAUGGUUAAGCAAAUCAAUUUGAGAAAUAAACUAUGACUUUAUAUUUAUAUCCUGAUUGUGUAAUGUUAAUGUAUAUAUAUAUCAAAGUAAAUCAUGCUAUAUUUGUAUCGGAGUACUGUACUAUUCAGUUCUUUCUGGGAUAUGCCUCGCCUCCAAUGGUACCUGUGGAAAGAAAGGUGUUCCAUGUAAUGAGACAUUCGGGUCUGAAUGGACGUACAACGGAAAAUGCUGCAAUGGCAAACCAUGUUGCAAACGUAAGUAGACAAAUAAAGCAGGCAGUAGUGUUUGUCACUGUUGAUCAAAUCGAAUGAAUGCAAAGGAAUUUCAUAGACAUAGAUAGUUAUAUUUGGACAAAAAAAAAGAAACAUGGAACAGUUUUCAUUCCUUUUUUGAAAUAUUUUGCGCUCAACAACGACGAUGAUGGCGUUUUGUACACCCAACAAAGACAAAACAUCUAAGUAUGACAUGUUUGUACUUAAAAUAUCACAUUUGCAAUAUUCUAGUCGAAAAAAAGCAAUUAAUUAAAGUUGUUUCAGCUGCCAUUUUGUCCUUGAAGAUUUCGUAAUGUUUCAGAUUUUGAUACUGGAUGUCUCAUCUACUCACUGCUUAAAUUAACAAAUUGAAAGUAGGCACUCACUCACUAGUAUGUAUUUCAGUAGAAUAUUAUAAAUAUAUUGGAAUGUAUUGUGUAAAGAGCAAAUGUAUAAACGUCAUUGCCUAUACCAAGACAGGUGUACGACAGUUGUAAUCAUUUCAUUUGAUGUGUUUGGGCUUUUGAUUUAGCCAUUUGGCUUUUUCUGUAGACUUUUCCUCGGAGUUCAGUAUUUUUGUGAUUUUUUUGAAUUAGAAGACACAUCUCCUUUAAAACUCUUUUAGUUUAUCACAUAGAACUUGCAUUCUUCUGUAUAAUUUGAUUAUUUACUUAUAUAAUGUGUACCCUUAUUGUAAUGAGGUUUUAAUUUUAAUUGUUAUAUUUAAUAUCUUUAUAGAAAAAAGCGUAACACAUUGUUUCUAACUUUGCAAUAAAUGAUUUUUUUGUACACCAACAUUAAGAACGGUUUUAAUUAUUGUUUCUUUUUAAUUUUUGUACAAAUACAAGAAGAAAUAACCCAUCCAAAAUUCAAAAUAAUAAUUCCAUUUGUUUCCUUUUGUGAAAUCAAGUUUAAAAAUAUCGUUAUCACCAUUUUUUAAAUCAGCAUAAAGGUCAAAGGGAAACAACUGUAUUUCUUCGCUGGAAUUCGCUAUGUGCUUGAUUGCAAUAUGCAAAAUUAAAAAGAACAUCACAACUAAGGUAUUCUGUUCCUUUACAAAUUAUUUUAACGACAAAAGAGUAUUCCACUGCAAUAAUUGUACCCUUUAAAAACUUAAACUUUUACACAUAAAUCUGAUAUUUACUUGCAACGUAAGUAUUGCCCUUCCGUCUUUCUUUCCUUUCUGUUUUUCUUUUGUUCUUAUAUUCAUUUUAUUUAUUUAAAUCUCAUUUGUGGGGCUUCUGUUUCAUAACAGAUGUGAACAAAAAAAUGUCUAUGCAUUAAUUGCACAACAAGCUUGUCUGUUGUGGAGAGUGGUUUUAUUGCCAAUCAUUCCAAAGAAAUACCUGUAUAUUCUGUAUUUCAAUAUCCCUAUAUUAUGUUUGUUUCAUUCAAAAUUUCAAAAUGAAGGAAUAUAUUUUCCACAUGCAAAGCUUUGAUUCUUUGUCCAGCUUUGGCUAUAUGUUUGUAUCCGUUUUUUGGUUUAUAGCUCUUCAUGUCUUUAAUUAGCUUUCGUUUUACAAAUAUUUUGGCCUCGAGCAUCACUAACGAGACAUUGAUUGUCGAAAUGCGCAUCUGGUGCAGACAUUUGGUAUCGUUUAUGUUUAAAUGACGUUCUGCAACAUUUGAUCAAAGUGAUUUAUUCAUUACGUUAUUAUAAUUACGCCAUCGCUUCAUCUGUUUAUGUUUUAAUUGCGAUUACGGAUCAAAUUUAACCAAAUUGAUUUUUAGUGUUAAAAGCGCCAUGUGUUCCGGAAACUUGUCCAAAGGGGUUCGUUCUUUUAGCAAACCAGGCAAAUAGUGCUGAUUGUUAUUUCUAUAGUCGUAGUGGUAUUGAAACGUGGGAGACAGCCAGGGUGAGUAUGUUAAUUAAUCACUAUUAAUCUGUAGGAAGAAAAUAAGAUUAAUUCAGAUAUUUUUUAUGUAUUUAUCAAGUGACAUUACAUAAUUCUUUAUCACUGACUUAAGUAAUUUACUACGUUAUCUCUACAUUAUAAGCGUAAUGAAAGAAUACCCAAGGCUCCGCGUUGAAGACCGUACUUUAACCUAUAAUAAUGGUUAAAAAUUUUUUAAAGUUUUUUUUUAACUUGGAUUGAUAGUUGUCUCAUUGGCACUCAUACCACAUCUUCUUAUAUCUAUUUCAACUCCAGAAUCAACAAUUUUUCUACAGGUUACCUUCUCUGUGGUGGAACAUCCUGGUACGCGGUCAAGCAAGAGCAAAAAUAUCAAUCUGCACAAUUUUGAGGGAAAGUUUUCUGUAAAAUGCUUUCUAUACACGACGCGGAAAACAGUAAUCUGUCCCCAAAGUUGCACCGAUUGUAUAUUUGAUUUUACUUCUUAUGGCUGUUCGUUAUUACCUGAGUACCAGGAUAUCCUAUCAAAGUGGGAACCUGACGAAAAAUUAUAAACCGGGAGUUCAAAGUUGGUAUUAUGAUAAUAGACUACUGCUGUCACGAUAUGGGAGACAUAAGUAUAUGAAAAAAACAGUCUGUUUACCAAAAAAAAAAAAAAUCAGUCUAUUUACCAAAACAAAAAAAUCAAAAUAACAUGUAUAUAGUAUAUGUUAAAACGAUAACAAUACUGACAGGGCUAAUACGAUGACUAGUAUUGACACUCUAAGAACAUUUUUCUGCAAAAAACAUAUUAUCUACUGUAUAUUCGUUUAUGUUCGUGGUUACCAAUUUUCGUGAAUAUAAGGAAAACUUGCAUGUUCAUGAUGUUGGUUGAUACUAAUUAAUUUCGUGCUUUUUCUUAAGUCAUCAUGAAGCCUAUAAAAAUGUGUCAUUGGUUGAAUAUUUAAUUUUGUGGUUUUACUGUUCCCACUAAAUCAACGAAACUUGGUAUUCAACAAAUAUUAAUGAAUCCACAGUACUAAGAACAAACAAAUUUAGUGACCGAAAUGUAAAAAUAAAAUGAAUGUUAUCUUACUAUCUUUCAGUUGAGAUGUGCCAAUACACCAGGUGCCUAUCUGUGGAGACCGAACAAUAUAGUAGAAGCCAAUGAUGUAAUAGUUCAAAUCAGUAAGUUGAAAAUAUAACAUUAAUUCUGUGUGAAUGAAGUUAUUCAGUAAUUACGUAUUACAAAAAAUCAACAAAUCAAUAAAAUUCGUGUGAACGAACUUAAUCCGUUAUAAUCCAUUAUAAAGUAUUUGAAAAAAUAUGACAACGAAUAUAAUCUGUUAUUAAGAUAUACGAAAAACUGUUAUAACUAGUCCCACAAUAUUGUGAUGACAAAUUUUAGCUGUGAUAACAAUUUUUCCAGUUCGUAAUAACGAUUUUAAUUCGUGAUUUUGACUUUAUCGAAAAACUAGGGAAGUUUUUAUAAUGCAGAAGCGUUAGGGACAAAAGACCUUUACAGAACAGCAAAUUCACCUAAAGUUGCCUUUGCCUGAUUAAAUAUAAACUACUGUGGUUCAAUUAUUUUCGUGGGGACCAAUUUUCAUGAAUUAAGGAAAACGUACAUUUUCGUGAAUAUUUAAUUUCGUGGUUUUGAUGGAAUAUGCAUACACGUUUAUAGGAAAUAUUUAAUUCGUUGAACUUUUAAUUCCGUGGUUUCACCUUUACGCACGUUAUCUCCGAUAAUUGGGAUUCAACGAAUAAUUAUGAAUCCACAGUAAUUUCAUUUGUUCAAUUUUAAGUCUUCAUAUCAAUGAAGCAAAUGUAAAUAUAAGAAUAGAAAAUGUGGUAUGAUUGCCAAUGAGACAUUUCUCCAAAAAGAGACCAAAUGACACAUAAAUUAAUAAUAUAGGUCACCGUACGGCCUUCAACAAUGAUAAAAGGCCCCGAAACGACAAAUGUAAGAAAGGUAUUAAAUAUUUGAUAUAUGCUACCUACUUUUGCCUAAAUUUACCAUUAUCAUUAGGAAUUAGGAAUGAGGAACUAUCAAUUAUCAAUAGUUCAAUAUUUAGAGGAGUGUGUUUACCAGUUUACCAAAUGAACAUACACAUACACAAACUAUACUAAACAAUCUGAUUGAGUUAAAGCCCUUGUGAAAUAAAAAAAUCAGUUGAUUUUAUGAUAACAAAUUUAACAUGUUCAUCUGUUUUGUUUCUAUCAGCUGUUUAAUGUUUGCCUUGUGUUUUGAAUUUUUGAUAAUUUAACUUCGAUCAUGACCAUUUGAUGCAGAAAACAUUGCAUCGUGCAAAUAAUUAAUCGUAUCAUACAAGAACAUCAAUUCUCACAUCAUGUGAACAAUUUUCAUUAUUUUCGCAGUACUUUAGUAUUUAAAAAAUUGCAUCACACGUUCUUAAAAACAUAGUUCACAGUACAAAUAGUUUGAAAUUCUACAAGAGUUGACUUAAUAAUAGAACUUGCAAAAGAUAAGGCAACUUCUUUAAUUGAAAUUGAGUUUUAUUUUGUUAAAUAUAUAUGUAUAGGUAUCUGUCUAAGUCGUUGAAUUAUAGUAAUUUCAUUCCCCGAUUUCUUACCCUUACAAAACCCAUUUUGUACCAUGAUUAUUUCGUUCGAUGACCAGUUCAUACCUCAACGAAUAUUUAUAUGUAAAUCAUUUUGUACCUUUUGGAAGAUUUAUACUAAUGAAAUUUUAUAAUUUUUUGAAUAUUUAUAUGCAAACCAUUUCGUUUUUCACGGAAAGAGACUUAUGUUUGCUAUUUCAUACGCAAUGGAAUAUAUCUAUGUUUACCAUUUCCUGUCAAGUGCAGAUUUAUAUGUGUGCCAUUUCGUACAGGACGGAAGAUAUGUAUGACAAUGGUCGUAUAAGGUGCAAAUCAUUUUUCAAACAUAUAUAUUCAUGGCUUUCUUCUUUGAUUAAUAUCUCAUUUCACUGUAUUUCAUGAUAUUGUUCACGAUAAAGCAGCUGUUGAAAAACUAUAAAAAUUGUUCAGAAAAAAAUUCCUUUGUUAAUUAACCUCAUUUUCAAAAAAUAUUCAUCAAAAAAUGUAAAUUGGUUAAGGAUAACCCCUUCAAACAAAACAAAGUACAUAAAAAAUAUCCAAGUUUCUAUGUAUUGCCUAAUUCAACGAAUUAUAGUUCUUUUUAUUGUAAGGUACAUUGUUAUAUUGAUUAAUAAAAAAUCCACUUUCUGGCUCUAAUAAAUUCUCACUCAAGAAAAGAAUUUAUCUUUGAUUAUGUAGAUUAGGUUCGUUGUAUUUUAGUAUCGAAGCGAUUUUAGAAACAUAUAUGUAACUUAGUAAAUGUUAAAAAAACCGUUUCAUUUGAUAUGUUUAUUUUAUAUUUAUAUUUUCCAUAUUUACAAAACUAACUUUUAUUACGAAAAACAUUUUUUUUUUUAAAUCUGUUCCUAUAUGGUUACGCGUCAUAACAGUUUACAUCGUUGUAACUUAUGUGUGUUGUUCCCUUCAACCUCAACAGUAUUAAUUUAUCUUGUUUCUUUGAAAAAUUCCAGUCAGGAAUAUGAGAGUUGUUUCCCAUCAGUUUCGCUAAGUAUUAAGUUUUAAGGACGUUUUUAAAAUAUUUCAUUGGAGUUGGUAUUUAUGUUCAUACUUUAUUUUUAUUCUACUGAUUUUCAAUUUUACAUUUAAUUCUUUUUACAGUCGGUGUAAAUACUGUAUGGACUGGUGCAAAUGAUAGAGACAAGGAUGGGAACUAUAUAUAUUUGACAUAGAAAAUAGUCCAUUUUCAAAAACAUCUCUCCCAUUUGGAUCAGGUAAAUUUGACGUACUUAGUAUAAUUCAUUUACAGUUUAUACACCAUACGUCAAUGAGACAGUAAGCAAACAACACAAAAAAAAAGCGUCAGAAGAACAGUACUUGGAACAAACAAUAAAUGUAUAUAAAAAAAGUUAGAACAAAAUCAAUAGACUAAUAAGGAUCAGCACUUUUACAUUAGGUACUAUAUAACAGAUAAAACAAUAAAAUAUUUUUUACGAAUUGGACUAAAGAACGGGUAUUUACUUACAUUUAAAACCCGUCGGUGGCCACUAUUUGAGCAGAAUUUUGUUACACUUCCAGAGCACCUGAUAUUACUUCUAUUUUUUAUAUGUUGUAUUUCGUAUACUGCUGAUUUCUUUUAGUUAAAUUUCGUUUUUUUUCCAUGGCGUUGUCAAUAGAUAUAAGAAGAUGUGAUAUGAGUGCCAAUGAUACAACUCUCCAUCAAAGUCUCAAAAUGUGUUAAAGUAAAUCAUUAUAGGUCAAAGUACGGUCUUCAAAACGGAGCCUUUGCUCACACCGAACAGCAAGCAAUAAAGUUUGUUUUCGACUAAUGGGUAUGCAAUUCGAUCGCUUUUGUAUAUUUCGCAUGUUUUUUUUAAUACAAUCUAAAUAUGAUUUAACUCUAAAAAUGGUAUCGAAGAAGACAAUUUUUAGGACUAGUGCAAACAAUUGCAGCAUUUACACUGAUGUCCGUAUAGUUCAAUAUAUCGAUGUGUCGCUUUAAAAUACACUAUCUCGUAAUAUAACCGUGGGCUCAUUUAAAAAUAAAUUUUAAAAAAAUAUACCAUAGACAAAAAGUAAUUACUUUAAAUUAGAUGGGUACUGUUCAAUGACAUUACAUUUCAGAAUAUGUUUUCUAAUAAAAAAAUUAAAAAAAAUUCGAGGUAAAUUAUCGCUAACCAAAUAUUAUCCUUUAAUUUGCCGUUUCAGAUUCUAAUACUUCUUGGUAAUAUUUUCCAAAGUGUACACAAAGCGUCUUGAUUGGUUAAAAACGUCAUAAACAGUUGAAAUUUAACCAACCAAUGACGUGACGUUAUUUCCAAGAAAAAAUUAUAACAAUUAUUCUUUUUAUAAUUCGGAAGAUAGUUAUCGGUGAAAGCAUCGGGUUCAAUGGCACUUGAAAAGAUAUCGGUGACUAUUGUGGAUAGAGAUAUUCUUUCAUCAAUUGUAGAAAAAUAUUCGAAUAUAACAGUGCCUCUAGACAUUAAGGAACAAUUUGUUUAUGAGAUUAUGAAACAGUUGAUAGAUCUUCCACAAGACGAGGCAGCGUAUACAUUGAAGCUGUAUUUUUUUUUACUUGAUAGAGGAUUGACGAAAUAAAUAUUUGGUUAAUUUUUUCAGGCCAUUUUGUGAUUGACGCUAAUGCAGUGUAUGUGGAUAUACAGUUUAAAGCUCUUCAAGGAAAUUGGUUAUGGAAAAAUCGGGAUUUUAAUCAUCGUAAUCGCUACCUAUGCGAGUAUCAACGAGUAAGUAUACUCCUUCGUUUAGCCUUUAAUUAGAAAUAUUAUAAACCCUUCGAAAUUUUAACAUAUAACUACUAGUACAUCAUCAUCAUGAAUCAUGAAAACUUAAGGUUAGUCUCGCCUGGUAUUCGGUAGUAUGUCUGUUUUAGAAAUAAAGUAUUCAUACUCGUUUUCGUAAAAGGGAUUCUUGCCAAAAAAAAACCUGGUUAAGAGCAACUUUCUGAAGCCGUACGUACGAGGGGAAAAUGUUAACCUCAAAACCGGUAUUUUUGGCAAAUGCCCCUUGUUAGCAUGAUUUAAUUGUUUAAUUCUAACGAAUGCUCUUUGUAUUCAUUUUGACUCCGGAAUGUUUAUUGUAAUCAGGUAUCCUAUGAAAAGUCUAGCCGAGGUUUCAGAAUUCGCAUUAUCUUAAGACAUGGUACUUCCCAUAUGCCGUGGUAGUUACUAGCCAAUACUUAAGCAAAUGGAAUUCCCUUGUUAAAAAUACACCAACAGAGAAAAGAAUAUUUCAAUAUAUAGGAAAUUGGUGAAAAAUAUCAUAUUUCUCAUCAAAUCAAAAUACAGCAUUACUACAUAAGACAGAACUGUAUGCAAUAAAAGACUCAUAUCUUGAAUUUGUUCUUGUACAUUUGAACAAAUAUCUUAACCUCAUUUGUAUUGUAAACUCUGUUAUAAAUAAUCCGAUUACAUGUAGUACAGUCAAUGUCGAGUGUUGUUCAUUAGUAACACCUUUGUACGAAAAUGUCAUCAUUGCCCGACGCGGUCAAUAAUUGUGGAUUGCGUACCAAACUCAAGAAUAUCUUUCUUGUCUUGUAUUGGCUUUAGUGUAUCAUUUUUUUUUAAAUUGAUAAAGGACAUUGUAAUUCUAAAGCAAACAUAUGCCUCUUAAAUACAUUGUCACUUUUAUUUACCACUUUUUGGGCAUAUCGGGAUGGCUAGAUUUUUUUAUUGGUAGAGGAAGCUGUAGUGCCAGAAGAAAACUACCGACCUUCGAUAGAAAAAAACUGACAAUUAUAGUCAAUUAGAAUUGAAGUCAAGUGCACCCGCACGAGCCAUGUUUGAUUCACAACUUCGGUGUUGACUGGCUAGGGACUAUAGUAGUUACUAUUUAUACACUCGACCACCGAGGCCUCACAUGCGCAAUAGAAGAACGAUUGUAAAAAUAUGAUAACAAAUUUUAGAAAAUUAACAUUUUGGUUUAUAUUUAUCAUUGAAUUUUAUAAUUUCUAACACAUCGACUAUCUUAAACUAACAAUUGACCAUCAAUUUUCCCGUCACCUUUGAGAGAAUACUAGUAUUGAGAUAAUAAAGCUGUUCAAUUUAACAUUUUACAAUGUAUAGAUGCGAGUUUAUCGCUGCAUUGAAGACCCAUUGGUUGACUUUGGCUGUUGUCUGCUAUAUGGUGGGGUUGUUGUUUUCUUGACACAUUCCCUAUUUCCACUCUCGAUUUUAUAGAAAUUGACAAAAGUAAAAGAGCCAAAUAUACCAACUGUUGAAACAUCAUCACAUCGAAGAAAUCAAGAAUAUCAGUUUCACAGGUUUUACAGAUUUCCAAUUACAUUCAUAUGACUUGAAUGUGUGUAAAUAAAGUAAUGAUGGUUUUUACAUGAUGCAUAACAAUUUAAAUCAAUACAAUGUUCCGUAUAAUUAUAUCCCCACUUGAAGGAAACUGGGGGUAUACUGUUUUACUUCUGUCUGUUCGUCCGACCAUCCAUCCAUCCAUCCGUCAGUCAGUCCGUUCAAUGUAUAUUUUUAUUCGCAUCUUUCUAGGAGAACUAAAAUACUAGGAUUUCUACAAUUUGGAUUCAGGGUUUAUAUAAGUCAGCUAUACCGUGUGAUGGGUUUUAAGAUUCAUCCCUUAAAAACUUCCUGUUUACCAAACACUUUUAUCAUUUAAAACAUGGUAGCCAAAUUGAAAAUUGCCAUCACGCUAUUCUCAGGAACUACACUACAAUGAUUUCUGAAAUUUGGUUUCAGGAUUUAUUUAAGUCAGUUGUACUGUGGUGUGCGUUUUCAGUUUCAUCACUUAACAACUUCCUGUUGAACGUAUGUUUUUAGAGGACGGAUGUAUCAUUAGUGAGCAAUAGCGCACAUAAUCACUUGUUGACAAAUAUUUUCUAACCUAUACAAAUAUAUACAAAAAUGUAGCAUGAUAUAUCAAUUUUUAAUUCAGAUAGUAGUUAUUUUUUUUGUGUCUGUUAAUUUAUAAAAUUGUGUUUUUCAGAGAGUGUGUCCGUAGAGAGGAUGUAUGCCAUUGCAGUACUUGAUGCAAUAAAAUCUUUAAAGCAG
This 10192-nucleotide long non-coding RNA is filed under the name Mytilus galloprovincialis (Mediterranean mussel). Lineage: Eukaryota; Metazoa; Mollusca; Bivalvia; Mytilida; Mytilidae. The record is from RNAcentral.